Molecule: ribosomal RNA, 807 nt
Filed under: uncultured archaeon
Lineage: Archaea
Description: bacterial SSU rRNA
Rfam family: Archaeal small subunit ribosomal RNA
Source: RNAcentral
ACGGCUCAGUAACACGUGGCUAACCCACCCUUGAGACGGAGAAAACCCCGGGAAACUGGGGUUAAUCUCCGAUAAGAGAAGACACCUGGAAUGGGUCUCCUCUCAAAGGGCGCCUAGACCAUGCUUCUAGGCGUUGCUCAAGGACGGGGCCGCGGCCGAUCAGGUUGUUGGUGAGGCAACGGCUCACCAAGCCUAUAACCGGUACGGGCCGUGAGAGCGGGAGCCCGGAGAUGGGCACUGAGAUAAGGGCCCAGGCCCUACGGGGCGCAGCAGUUGCGAAAACUCCGCAAUGCACGAAAGUGUGACGGGGCUACCCCGAGUGCCGUCCGCUGAGGACGGCUUUUCCCCGGUGUAAGGAGCCGGGGGAAUAAGGAGAGGGCAAGUCUGGUGUCAGCCGCCGCGGUAAUACCAGCUCUCCGAGUGGUAGGGAUGAUUAUUGGGCUCAAAGCGUCCGUAGCCGGCCCGGCAAGUCUUCCGUUAAAUCCAACGAUUCAAUCGUUGGACUGCAGGAGAUACUGUUGGGCUAGGAGGCGGGAGAGGCCGACGGUAUUCUCGGGGUAGGGGUAAAAUCCUAUAAUCCCGGGAGGACCACCAGUGGCGAAGGCGGUCGGCUAGAACGCGCUCGACGGUGAGGGACGAAAGCUGGGGGAGCGAACCGGAUUAGAUACCCGGGUAGUCCCAGCUGUAAACGAUGCGGGCUAGGUGUUGGGGCGGCUACGGGCCGCUUCAGUGCCGCAGGGAAACCAUUAAGCCCGCCGCCUGGGGAGUACGGCCGCAAGGCUGAAACUUAAAGGAUUGGCGGGGGAG